Molecule: long non-coding RNA, 488 nt
Organism: Anolis carolinensis (green anole)
Lineage: Eukaryota; Metazoa; Chordata; Lepidosauria; Squamata; Anolidae
Exons: 3
Source: RefSeq, a predicted model, not a curated record
UUGUGUAAAGUUUAGGAUGUGCAGAUUUCAAACCAGUAAAGAUUGUGACCACAAUGUCUAACUAUUUAUUAUUUCCAAUAUCAAAUUAGUUUACCUUUGUGAAUUAACUGCAAGGGAGCAUGGGAUGGAGAGUGCAGUUGCAUUCAAGUACUGCUGGUGGACAUCUGAUAAGCAACUGACUGGGUGCUGUAUGAACAAAAUGUUGAACCAGAUGUCAGGUGCAUUUCAGUAGCACAGGCGAGACCAAAUCAACCUAAAUAUUUUACUGUGAUAUGGGUUUUCAAAGACUGCCAUUCCUCAUCAGAACCUCCAGAGUUUCUCCAAUAUUUGCACCAGGAUACUAUGGAACACCUUGAGAAGUGACUGUGAAAGAUGCAAGAGAAUGGGGUUUUCACUGCACCCACCAGUUGUAAAUGUGAACAAAAAUAACUCUUCGGAUUGUUUAUAAAAAGGAAACUCAGCUUUCCAGUUGGAAUGGUUCUGCACUA